GAGUUUGAAAUUCUUGCUUCAGGCCAUAUGGAGUGGAUAUUCCUUCCAGAAGGAAAUUACAGACCACUCUCUGUUUCUACUCAACUGCUUUUCACUCCAGGAUGCUUCACCUCUUGGGGCCUUCCCCAGCAGAGGCCCAGGAUCACCUGCAAAAGGCUUCCCCAAGGGUGGGGCCAGAAGCAGGGCUGCAGAUAUGUGUCCUGAACCUCCCAUGGACCCUGCUGGCUCCCUUCAAAGGCUUCGGGCAUAGCGACUUGCCUUUCCGUCUUGUUCAGUCGUCACCAGUCAGCCGUCUGCAGACUUCUCUCCCUCACGUUGUGGCAGAGGAGUUGUACAUUCUCUAGAUUUUAAAAAUAUAUAAGUUACUUUUUCUUUAAAAUAAAAAUUGUCUCUGAAAUAAAAAAAAAAAAA
Molecule: long non-coding RNA, 411 nt
Filed under: Homo sapiens (human)
Lineage: Eukaryota; Metazoa; Chordata; Mammalia; Primates; Hominidae
Description: long intergenic non-protein coding RNA 545 (LINC00545)
Source: RNAcentral